CAGCCGCCACGGUAAAACGUAGGUGGCAAGCGUUGUCCGGAAUUAUUGGGCGCAAAGCGCGCGCAGGCGGAUCAGUCAGUCUGUCUUAAAAGUUCGGGGCUUAACCCCGUGAUGGGAUGGAAACUGCUGAUCUAGAGUAUCGGAGAGGAAAGUGGAAUUCCUAGUGUAGCGGUGAAAUGCGUAGAUAUUAGGAAGAACACCAGUGGCGAAGGCGGCUUUCUGGACGAAAACUGACGCUGAGGCGCGAAAGCCAGGGGAGCGAACGGGAUUAGAUACCCCAGUAGUCCCUGUCUCUUAUACA
RNAcentral lists this ribosomal RNA (301 nucleotides) under uncultured bacterium. RNAcentral's name for it is "partial 16S ribosomal RNA". It matches the Rfam family "Bacterial small subunit ribosomal RNA", at positions 509 to 809 of the family's 1533-position model. The record is from RNAcentral.